RNAcentral lists this ribosomal RNA (314 nucleotides) under uncultured bacterium. RNAcentral describes it as "partial 16S ribosomal RNA". It matches the Rfam family "Bacterial small subunit ribosomal RNA", at positions 495 to 807 of the family's 1533-position model. The record is from RNAcentral.
GUAUAAGAGACAGCAGUCGCCGCGGUAAUACGGAGGGUGCAAGCGUUAAUCGGAAUUACUGGGCGUAAAGCGCACGCAGGCGGUCUGACAAGUCAGAUGUGAAAUCCCCGGGCUUAACCUGGGAACUGCAUUUGAAACUGUCAGGCUGGAGUCUUGUAGAGGGGGGUGGAAUUCCAGGUGUAGCGGUGAAAUGCGUAGAGAUCUGGAGGAAUACCGGUGGCGAAGGCGGCCCCCUGGACAAAGACUGACGCUCAGGUGCGAAAGCGUGGGGAGCAAACAGGAUUAGAUACCCCUGUAGUCCCUGUCUCUUAUAC